RNAcentral lists this RNase P RNA (543 nucleotides) under Candidatus Magasanikbacteria bacterium CG10_big_fil_rev_8_21_14_0_10_43_6. RNAcentral describes it as "RNase P RNA component class A". It matches the Rfam family "Bacterial RNase P class A". From Rfam's summary of the family: Ribonuclease P (RNase P) is a ubiquitous endoribonuclease, found in archaea, bacteria and eukarya as well as chloroplasts and mitochondria. Its best characterised activity is the generation of mature 5'-ends of tRNAs by cleaving the 5'-leader elements of precursor-tRNAs. Lineage: Bacteria; Candidatus Magasanikiibacteriota. The record is from RNAcentral.
UAUCUUUCGUUGAUGAUCGCUCCAACUCGUUUGGAGAGGAAAGUCCGGACUCAUAUAUUUCUUUGAAAUAUAUAUUGGUAGUGGGUAAUACCCACCUCCCUGUCUGCGAAGACAUGGGACGGGACAGUGCCGCAGAGACAAUACUAAUUUUGCGCAGCAAAAUUAUCCUGAGUGAGCGAAGCGAAUCGAAGGAUCCUUGAACGAGGGACACCCUUCGGCUUCAUCCCGACUGCGGUCGGGAUUUCGCUCAGGGUCAUCCUGCUGCGCAGGACGAAAGGUGAAAAGUGUAUAUACGUUUUUGCUCUAUAGACAAAAGCGAGUAUACUCGACGUAUGGCAACAUGCGUUCGUGGCAAACCCUAUCAAGAGCAAGAGCAGCCCGUCUUCGCUCAGCUUCGCCGGGCAAAGCCCGAACGGAGCAUAGCGAAGCCUGGGAAAAGUUCGCUCGCUUGACCCCAACAGUAAUGCUGGGGCUAGAUAAAUGAUCAUCCCUGUGUCGCUAUGCGAUAUGGGACAAAAUCCGGCUUAUACAGAAAGAUAAGAU